RNAcentral lists this ribosomal RNA (301 nucleotides) under uncultured bacterium. RNAcentral describes it as "partial 16S ribosomal RNA". It matches the Rfam family "Bacterial small subunit ribosomal RNA", at positions 509 to 807 of the family's 1533-position model. The record is from RNAcentral.
CAGUCGCCGCGGUAAUACGAAGGGUGCAAGCGUUACUCGGAAUUACUGGGCGUAAAGCGUGCGUAGGCGGUGGUUUAAGUCCGUUGUGAAAGCCCUGGGCUCAACCUGGGAACUGCAGUGGAUACUGGGUCACUAGAGUGUGGUAGAGGAUAGUGGAAUUUCCGAUGUAGCAGUGAAAUGCGUAGAGAUCGGAAGGAACAUCUGUGGCGAAGGCGACUGUCUGGGCCAACACUGACACUGAGGCACGAAAGCGUGGGGAGCAAACAGGAUUAGAUACCCCAGUAGUCCCUGUCUCUUAUAC